GUUCAGGAUGAACGCUAGCUACAGGCUUAACACAUACAAGUCGAGGGGCAUCAGGAAGAAAGCUUGCUUUCUUUGCUGGCGACCGGCGCACGGGUGAGUAACACGUAUCCAACCUGCCCUUUACUCGGGGAUAGCCUUUCGAAAGAAAGAUUAAUACCCGAUAGCAUAAUGAUUCCGCAUGGUUUCAUUAUUAAAGGAUUCCGGUAAAGGAUGGGGAUGCGUUCCAUUAGGUUGUUGGUGAGGUAACGGCCCACCAAGCCUUCGAUGGAUAGGGGUUCUGAGAGGAAGGUCCCCCACAUUGGAACUGAGACACGGUCCAAACUCCUACGGGAGGCAGCAGUGAGGAAUACUGGUCAAUGGGCGCUAGCCUGAACCAGCCAAGUAGCGUGAAGGAUGAAGGCUCUAUGGGUCGUAAACUUCUUUUAUAUAAGAAUAAAGUGCAGUAUGUAUACUGUUUUGUAUGUAUUAUAUGAAUAAGGAUCGGCUAACUCCGUGCCAGCAGCCGCGGUAAUACGGAGGAUCCGAGCGUUAUCCGGAUUUAUUGGGUUUAAAGGGAGCGUAGGUGGACUGGUAAGUCAGUUGUGAAAGUUUGCGGCUCAACCGUAAAAUUGCAGUUGAUACUGUCAGUCUUGAGUACAGUAGAGGUGGGCGGAAUUCGUGGUGUAGCGGUGAAAUGCUUAGAUAUCACGAAGAACUCCGAUUGCGAAGGCAGCUCACUGGACUGCAACUGACACUGAUGCUCGAAAGUGUGGGUAUCAAACAGGAUUAGAUACCCUGGUAGUCCACACAGUAAACGAUGAAUACUCGCUGUUUGCGAUAUACAGUAAGCGGCCAAGCGAAAGCAUUAAGUAUUCCAUCUGGGGAGUACGCCGGCAACGGUGAAACUCAAAGGAAUUGACGGGGGCCCGCACAAGCGGAGGAACAUGUGGUUUAAUUCGAUGAUACGCGAGGAACCUUACCCGGGCUUAAAUUGCAGUGGAAUGAUGUGGAAACAUGUCAGUGAGCAAUCACCGCUGUGAAGGUGCUGCAUGGUUGUCGUCAGCUCGUGCCGUGAGGUGUCGGCUUAAGUGCCAUAACGAGCGCAACCCUUAUCUUUAGUUACUAACAGGUUAUGCUGAGGACUCUAGAGAGACUGCCGUCGUAAGAUGUGAGGAAGGUGGGGAUGACGUCAAAUCAGCACGGCCCUUACGUCCGGGGCUACACACGUGUCACAAUGGGGGGUACAGAAGGCAGCUAGCGGGUGACCGUAUGCUAAUCCCAAAAUCCUCUCUCAGUUCGGAUCGAAGUCUGCAACCCGACUUCGUGAAGCUGGAUUCGCUAGUAAUCGCGCAUCAGCCACGGCGCGGUGAAUACGUUCCCGGGCCUUGUACACACCGCCCGUCAAGCCAUGGGAGCCGGGGGUACCUGAAGUACGUAACCGCAAGGAUCGUCCUAGGGUAAAACUGG
This 1446-nucleotide ribosomal RNA is filed under the name uncultured organism. RNAcentral's name for it is "SSU rRNA". It matches the Rfam family "Bacterial small subunit ribosomal RNA". The record is from RNAcentral.